AAUCGAUUCCGUGGUGAUUUGCGGCAUAUUGCAGCCACGUAAAAGAAGUCGCUAAAAGGCCCGCUCCGGCGCUGC
Molecule: non-coding RNA, 75 nt
Filed under: Gemmatimonas sp.
Lineage: Bacteria; Pseudomonadati; Gemmatimonadota; Gemmatimonadia; Gemmatimonadales; Gemmatimonadaceae
Source: RNAcentral